Molecule: ribosomal RNA, 253 nt
Filed under: uncultured bacterium
Lineage: Bacteria
Description: partial 16S ribosomal RNA
Rfam family: Bacterial small subunit ribosomal RNA
Source: RNAcentral
UACGAAGGGGGCUAGCGUUGCUCGGAAUCACUGGGCGUAAAGCGCACGUAGGCGGACUCUUAAGUCAGGGGUGAAAUCCUGGAGCUCAACUCCAGAACUGCCUUUGAUACUGGGAGUCUUGAGUUCGGGAGAGGUGAGUGGAACUGCGAGUGUAGAGGUGAAAUUCGUAGAUAUUCGCAAGAACCCCAGUGGCGAAGGCGGCUCACUGGCCCGAUACUGACGCUGAGGUGCGAAAGCGUGGGGAGCAAACAGG